This 414-nucleotide ribosomal RNA is filed under the name uncultured bacterium. RNAcentral describes it as "bacterial SSU rRNA". It matches the Rfam family "Bacterial small subunit ribosomal RNA", at positions 355 to 786 of the family's 1533-position model. The record is from RNAcentral.
UGGGGAAUAUUGGACAAUGGGCGCAAGCCUGAUCCAGCCAUGCCGCGUGAGUGAUGAAGGCCCUAGGGUUGUAAAGCUCUUUCGGCGGGGAAGAUAAUGACGGUACCCGCAGAAGAAGCCCCGGCUAACUUCGUGCCAGCAGCCGCGGUAAUACGAAGGGGGCUAGCGUUGCUCGGAAUCACUGGGCGUAAAGCGCACGUAGGCGGAUUGCUAAGUCGGGGGUGAAAUCCUGGAGCUCAACUCCAGAACUGCCUUCGAUACUGGCGAUCUUGAGUCCGGGAGAGGUGAGUGGAACUCCGAGUGUAGAGGUGAAAUUCGUAGAUAUUCGGAAGAACACCAGUGGCGAAGGCGGCUCACUGGCCCGGUACUGACGCUGAGGUGCGAAAGCGUGGGGAGCAAACAGGAUUAGAUACC